UCUAUUUCAGUUCUGAUGCACACCGCUUGCUUGUUGUAUUGCCUGCGCAAAGAUCGAGUAUACAUUUUCUUUAAUUAACUGCUUUUCAGUUCUAUGCAUUUGCAUACUCUAUUUCAGCAGUACAAGGUUGAAUGAUUGACUAGCUAGAUCAGUGGUGUGUGACGUCGUGAUGUGUGAAGACGCAAUUAGUAGCAGACAAAAAAAAACUGCUUACUCGGCUGAUCGCGUGAAACUAGGUACAAAAGAGUUUGAAAAUAGGUAUUCGUGUUCCAAGUAUGAAAACGUUGACAAGUUAUGCUUCCUCUUGUCAUGCUGAUCAUAUAAAUGGCCUAUCAUAGAAGAGUUCUUGUUCUUGACCUAUGAUGACAUUGCACGUGUCCCACAAAUUACUCCAGAUCUGUAGCAUACAAUUGGACUUGUGCUUUUUCCAGGUUCUCCUCUCCUUGUUUACUCCGACCAUAUCCUCUUCUGGUAAUCUUUUACCAGUACUUUGUCAAACGAUUCUGUGUAAAGCAAAGAAGCCUUGCUCUUCUACAAAAUCUUGAUAUUCCAAGAUCAUUCAGCUUCUAUCAAACGAUUUAUGUAAAGUCAAGAAGCCUUGCCCCCAGAUAAAAAUAUUUAUAUUCCAGGAUAAUUUAGCUUCAAUCAGCAGCGUCACCAAAGUUGAUUAGUGGCCUUCGGCACUUAGAAAGGAGAAACUUUAUUACCAUCGCAUCAUGUACUAUGGUCUGAACAUUUCUAUUUAUUACUAUUUUAUUUCUUACAAAA
This is a long non-coding RNA of Panicum virgatum (switchgrass), 768 nucleotides long. RefSeq lists it as uncharacterized. The record is from RefSeq and is a predicted model, not a curated record. The transcript is spliced from 2 exons. Lineage: Eukaryota; Viridiplantae; Streptophyta; Magnoliopsida; Poales; Poaceae.